RNAcentral lists this unclassified non-coding RNA (299 nucleotides) under Hevea brasiliensis (rubber tree). The record is from RNAcentral. Lineage: Eukaryota; Viridiplantae; Streptophyta; Magnoliopsida; Malpighiales; Euphorbiaceae.
AACCAAAUAAUAAUAAACAAUGGAGUGCUAAACAUUGAUAAAAGGUUGUUGAGGUUGUAUCAUGUUAAAACAAACUGACCCUGGGGGUUAGUCCUCAAUUUAGUUCUGGUAAUAGAGUUGGGCUAUUUGUCAUUACUUAGUAAUAAAAUGCUUUUCAUAUUGUGUUCCAUUUCAUAAUUUGUGAUUGAAUAGAAAGGCUCCUGAAACUCGAUAGGAGCAGAAUGGAAUGCAGCUUAGGUUCAGGGUAGAAAUCAAGGCAACAGUAGUAAUUCCUUACUUUUUAGACACGCUUAGGUGCA